Molecule: long non-coding RNA, 353 nt
Organism: Amblyraja radiata (thorny skate)
Lineage: Eukaryota; Metazoa; Chordata; Chondrichthyes; Rajiformes; Rajidae
Exons: 3
Source: RefSeq, a predicted model, not a curated record
GGACCAGGCCUACCGUGUGACAGGGACCCAUUGGGGAACAAACCCAACAGGUCUGCACUUGGUCUAGUUAUUCUUAUUUUUUGUUAUUUUGGGCGAAGUUCACCCCUUCUGUCUCACUUUUACUUUUGUUACUAUCUUCAUUUUUUUGCUAUUGUUUUGGGCGACGUUUUGAUUGAGUUUUUCAGCGAGUCGAGCAAGCUGCAGACCUUAACUUGGCUGGUGAGCACCUGGAUCAGGAUGGUGUGCAGUGGAAAGGAAGAAAUUAAUAAACCAAACACAAGUAGAAUAUUGAAAAUCAUGAACUUGAUCAAAGGGAAGAUAAUGUGGCCUACAAGAAAAUGCGAAGUUGUGCC